CAGGCUUGACAUGUGCGAAAGCGCCAAGUGUACCCUGCGGAAACGCAGGGGAACCCCGCAAGGGGGGACUUGGUACAGGUGCUGCAUGGCUGUCGUCAGCUCGUGUCGUGAGAUGUCGGGUUAAGUCCCAUAACGAGCGAAACCCUUGCCCUUAGUUGCUACGCAAGAGCACUCUAGGGGGACUGCCGGUGUCAAACCGGAGGAAGGCGGGGACGACGUCAAGUCCUCAUGGCCCUUACGCCUGGGGCUGCACACGUGCUACAAUGCGGCCGACAAAGGGACGCCAACGCGCAAGCGUGCGCCAAUCCCAAAAAAGGUCGCUCAGUUCAGAUCGUGGGCUGCAACCCGCCCACGUGAAGCUGGAAUCGCUAGUAAUCGCGGGUCAGCGACACCGCGGUGAAUGUGUUCCUGAGCC
This 415-nucleotide ribosomal RNA is filed under the name uncultured bacterium. RNAcentral describes it as "bacterial SSU rRNA". It matches the Rfam family "Bacterial small subunit ribosomal RNA", at positions 976 to 1380 of the family's 1533-position model. The record is from RNAcentral.